GACGAACGCUGGCGGCGUGCUUAACACAUGCAAGUCGAACGGACCGAGUUGAUAGCUUGCUAUUGAUGAGGUUAGUGGCAAACGGGUGAGUAACGCGUAGGCAACCUGCCCUUCAGAUGGGGACAACACCUCGAAAGGGGUGCUAAUACCGAAUGACGUUUCCUAGUCGCAUGACCUGGAAACCAAAGGCCGGGCAACCGGUCACUGAAGGAUGGGCCUGCGUCUGAUUAGCUAGUUGGUGGGGUAACGGCCCACCAAGGCGACGAUCAGUAGCCGGUCUGAGAGGAUGAACGGCCACAUUGGGACUGAGACACGGCCCAAACUCCUACGGGAGGCAGCAGUGGGAAUCUUCCGCAAUGGCGCAAGCCCUGACGGAGCAACGCCGCGUGAGUGAAGAAGGUUUUCGGAUCGUAAAGCUCUGUUGAGAGGGACGAGAGAUAUAAUCAGGAAAUGGGUUAUAGAGGACGGUACCUUUCGAGGAAGCCACGGCUAACUACGUGCCAGCAG
This 507-nucleotide ribosomal RNA is filed under the name uncultured bacterium. Its description in RNAcentral is "bacterial SSU rRNA". It matches the Rfam family "Bacterial small subunit ribosomal RNA", at positions 28 to 514 of the family's 1533-position model. The record is from RNAcentral.